CGAAGGGCUAGCGUUGCUCGGAAUCACUGGGCGUAAAGGGCGCGUAGGCGGCCAUUCAAGUCGGGGUGAAAGCCUGUGGCUCAACCACAGAAUUGCCUUCGAUACUGUUUGGCUUGAGUAUGGCAGAGGUCAGUGGAACUGCGAGUGUAGAGGUGAAAUUCGUAGAUAUUCGCAAGAACACCAGUGGCGAAGGCGGCUGACUGGGCCAUUACUGACGCUGAGGCGCGAAAGCGUGGGAGCAAACAGGAUU
Molecule: ribosomal RNA, 250 nt
Filed under: uncultured bacterium
Lineage: Bacteria
Description: partial 16S ribosomal RNA
Rfam family: Bacterial small subunit ribosomal RNA
Source: RNAcentral